Long non-coding RNA from Poecile atricapillus (Black-capped chickadee), 193 nucleotides. RefSeq lists it as uncharacterized. The record is from RefSeq and is a predicted model, not a curated record. The transcript is spliced from 3 exons. NCBI's taxonomy places the organism in Eukaryota, Metazoa, Chordata, Aves, Passeriformes, Paridae.
AUGAGAGAUAGCUAAAAGAGGAGUUUCUUUCUUCUCUGUGUUUGGAAGAGUGGCUUGUAAUCUUUAGCCACUGAAUCUGGGCUUCACAAGGAACAGAACCCUUAGAAAAUUCAUCAAAAUUGAAGGAGCUUCGAAUGAGAUCUCUUGGAGACCAAACUGAGGACACUGUUAACCACAAGUAUUCUGGAGCUCA